This 1136-nucleotide long non-coding RNA is filed under the name Citrus maxima (pomelo). RNAcentral's name for it is "long non-coding RNA (CMAX_LNC000893)". Lineage: Eukaryota; Viridiplantae; Streptophyta; Magnoliopsida; Sapindales; Rutaceae. The record is from RNAcentral.
CAAGGAUACCUUAGUAUAUAUCUGAAAAAGGACUAUGUGGUUACACAAAUAAACUUAUGAUAUUUAUGUUUGGAUGGAAACACAGUUGAGCCCAUCAUAAAACCCAAGGUUUCUUAUGGCCAUAUGCACUUCGCCUCGGUUGAGACUUGGCAUCAGCUUGCCCUACUUAUCGUUACCUGCAAUGUAAGGAUUACAUAAACUAAAGCCUAAUAAGAUAACACUUGAUGCAUGUAGUAAUUAUUAUGCAUAUAUAUAGAUGACCUUAUGAUCAUUAAGUUUUUAAAAGAAACCUAGAAAUACAAAACAACUUUAUUAGGGAGAUAGGCAUGUUGCACUACAAGGCUAGCACUUUUAUUCUUUAAAACAACAUGCCAUUGGGCCUAAUUAGUUGAUCUUUUGGGAGUUAUGUAUUGCCAUUCCCGAAAGAUUACUUUUUACUUAGCUUGGAGGGCAAGCCCUCUUUGGAAACUUUGCCACUUGGCAGCACAACAACCCAUUUUUCAAAAUUCAUUUUUAAAACUUUUUCUUUAUAAAGUAAUCCAUGAGAUACAUGCAUUCAAUGCAACUUAUAUCAUAACAUGUGAAGUUCCUAAAUGUACAAUAGAGCGGCAGUGCUAUAUAAAGACAUAACACUAUAUAAAGACAACAAUCUUUAAUAUAGGCGGCAGUGCUAUCCAUAUAGAGAUUAAACAAGAUGGGAUUAUAAUAUAGGCAGCAAAGCCGACCAUACAAGGGGUAAAUAAUAUAUAAAUAUCAUAAUAUAGGCGGCAUAGCCGACGAUAUAAGGAUAAAUAAGAAAAUAUCAUAAUAUAGGCAGCAUAACCGAUCAUAUAAGGAUAAAUAAGAAAAUAUUAUAAUAUAGGCGGUAUAUUCGAUCAUGUAAGAAUUAAGUAAGAAAAUAUCUUAAUAUAGGCGGCAUAGAUGACCAUUCAAAAAUUAAAUAAUAACCAAUCAAAUCAUAGUAGCCAUCACAAGAUAAAAAAUUAUUUAAAACUAAAUCUAAGUAUAAAAAAAAACUUUGUCCCUACAAUAUAAUUGAAGUGUUACUUACCUUUUAGCCUUGACUUCUCUAGACCUUCCUACUUGAGGAUUUCUCUACUCUUGAUGUUAUGGCUUAGAAUAGAAGAAGAUUGAAU